RNAcentral lists this long non-coding RNA (1074 nucleotides) under Oncorhynchus mykiss (rainbow trout). Its description in RNAcentral is "lncRNA (ENSOMYG00000020883.2)". Lineage: Eukaryota; Metazoa; Chordata; Actinopteri; Salmoniformes; Salmonidae. The record is from RNAcentral.
AUGCUGAACGGGGGGAGGGAGGGCCUGUUUCAGCUGGGACAGCAGCUCCAGCAGCAGGGGGAGUACCAGGCCGCCCUACACUGCUUCCUCAGCUCUCUGCUGGGGUUGAGGCAUGUGCAGAGCUUUACCUCGCUGCCCAACUGCCUGCAUCAGAUUGCUGAACUCUUCAUCUCCGAAAAUAAUUACGGCAAGGCCCUGCAGUUCAUUCAGGCUGAGAAGAUGUUCUAUGAGGUUGCUCUGAUCGAGCUCACUGCUGUUCAGGGGAGCACAGGCCCCCAGGAGGAGGCUUUGCUGGGCUCGGCGGGGACAGGAUGGGCGUCCUCAGAGGAGCUAUCGGAUCAGGCCUCUCAGGCACAGCACCUGGAGCAGCUAGCCCAGCUCUGCAUCGUGAGUAAAAGACCUCAUCUUGCUUUAGAGUACAGUGGGAAAGCCACUAAGAUCCAUCAGAGGGCCUUUGGCAACGACCACCCCAUCACAGACAGGAGUCUGGAGCUGCUGGCCACCGUCUACGCAGAGAUCGGCAAGACAGAAUACUCAGACUCCCUGGACCAGUGUGUGUCAGUGCUGUCCAAGAGGUUUGCUGCUGCCGAGUCCUUCAGAGACAAACUCAACAACGGUCUUCCCCAUUCCCACUCCCAUUCCCAUCGGGAGAAACACACUGAGGUCUGGCACAGGAAAGACCCCAGUCCACAGGAUGACACACCAAAACCGAAGGUCACCAACGGUAAAAUCCCUACGUCCAUACUGAAGAGGUCUGGCUCAGGAUCAGACUCGGAGCCCAGCCACAGAUGGAAAGGCGAGCGACGGGUCCGGUUCCGGGAGCCUGAGACCACUGUGCAUGACGUUCCAUACUAUGACUGUUUAGUUGCCUAUGACACGUCACCGCCACGCCCCCACCUGGCCCUGUUCACCUGCUUGUUCCUGCUGAUGUCACUGCUGGGCGUGGUCAUGUACAGCACGGACCGCCGGCGCCCACAGCGUGUGUGUGAGGAGCUGGAGGCCUCAUUGGCUGUCUAUCUGAUACACAUGAAACAGCUGCUGUGGGGCUGCUGGAUCUGGCUAACCAUGCAGUGA